RNAcentral lists this ribosomal RNA (253 nucleotides) under uncultured bacterium. RNAcentral describes it as "partial 16S ribosomal RNA". It matches the Rfam family "Bacterial small subunit ribosomal RNA", at positions 524 to 776 of the family's 1533-position model. The record is from RNAcentral.
UACAGAGGGGGCAAGCGUUAUUCGGAAUUAUUGGGCGUAAAGGGCUCGUAGGCGGUUUGUCGCGUCGGGAGUGAAAACACCGGGCUUAACUCGGUGCUUGCUUUCGAUACGGGCAGACUGGAGGUAUGCAGGGGAGAACGGAAUUCCUGGUGUAGCGGUGAAAUGCGCAGAUAUCAGGAGGAACACCGGUGGCGAAGGCGGUUCUCUGGGCAUUACCUGACGCUGAGGAGCGAAAGUGUGGGGAGCGAACAGG